GGAUUGACACGUCGGUCGUGCCUUAAGGGGUAUGAACUGGCGUAGUCAAUUUCUCACCUUCUGGAGAACCGCGCUGUCCUUAAUUGGGUGACGCGGGGAACCAGGACCUUUACUUUGAAAAAAUUAGAGUGCUCCAUACAGGCAUUUGCUUGAAUACAUUAGCAUGGAAUAACGGAAUAG
Molecule: ribosomal RNA, 180 nt
Filed under: uncultured Glomeromycotina
Lineage: Eukaryota; Fungi; Glomeromycota
Description: partial small subunit ribosomal RNA
Source: RNAcentral